This 826-nucleotide non-coding RNA is filed under the name Dictyosquilla foveolata. The record is from RNAcentral. Lineage: Eukaryota; Metazoa; Arthropoda; Malacostraca; Stomatopoda; Squillidae.
AAAAGUUUGACUCUGGCUAUUUGUUUUCUAUUUGAUUUAAAUGCAUGUAAAUAUAAAUAUGACAACUUGUUUUUUCUAAAAGGGAAAGGUUUUAAAGUAAAAUUGUUUAUAAUAUUUUAAUUCUCAGCAUAUAAUAUUAGUUUAUCAGUGUAAGCUGGAACUAGAAAUUCUUCUUAAACCUGGCUAAAUUUGUGCCAGCCGCCGCGGUUAUACUGUGAGGUUAAGUAAAUAAAAUUUGGUUAAAAAAGAUUAUUAUCAAGAUUAUUAAAAUAAUAAUAAGAAAUUAGGUAUAGGUGAAAUAAAUAACUAAAAUAUUAUUGUUAUGUAAAAAAUGUAUAAGAAGUCUAAAAACUUAAGAUAUAGACCAGGAUUAGAUACCCUGUUAUACUUUAAUGAAAUGUUUUAAACCGGGGUAGUAUAUAGUUAUUGUCUCGAAACCCAAAGAGUUUGGCGGUAUCUCAGUCUAGUUAGAGGAGCUUGUUCGGUAAUCGAUAAUCCGCGCAAUAUCUUACGUGUUUUUGUAGUCAGUUUAUAUACCGUCGUUAUUAGAUAAUACUAAAAAGUAAAUAAUUAUCUAAAUAUAUUAAGUUAUAAUAUAUCAGAUCAAGGUGUAGCUUAUAGACACGUCUGAAUGAGCUACAAUUUAGUUAAAUGAAAACGGAUUUUGUUUUUAAAUAAAUAAAUAAAGGUGGAUUUAAUAGUAAUUGUAAUUUUAAUAAGUUAUAAUGGUAUUAGCUCUGAGAUAUGUACACAUUGCCCGUCGCUCUCACUACAAGGUGAGAUAAGUCGUAACAUAGUAGGGGUGCUGGAAAGGGCCCCUAGAAUA